ACUGGUUAGCUAGAGUGUGGGAGAGGAUGGUAGAAUUCCAGGUGUAGCGGUGAAAUGCGUAGAGAUCUGGAGGAAUACCGAUGGCGAAGGCAGCCAUCUGGCCUAACACUGACGCUGAGGUGCGAAAGCAUGGGGAGCAAACAGGAUUAGAUACCCUGGUAGUCCAUGCCGUAAACGAUGUCUACUAGCCGUUGGGGCCUUUGAGGCUUUAGUGGCGCAGCUAACGCGAUAAGUAGACCGCCUGGGGAGUACGGUCGCAAGACUAAAACUCAAAUGAAUUGACGGGGGCCCGCACAAGCGGUGGAGCAUGUGGUUUAAUUCGAUGCAACGCGAAGAACCUUACCUGGCCUUGACAUAGUAAGAACUUUCCAGAGAUGGAUUGGUGCCUUCGGGAACUUACAUACAGGUGCUGCAUGGCUGUCGUCAGCUCGUGUCGUGAGAUGUUGGGUUAAGUCCCGCAACGAGCGCAACCCUUUUCCUUAUUUGCCAGCGAGUAAUGUCGGGAACUUUAAGGAUACUGCCAGUGACAAACUGGAGGAAGGCGGGGACGACGUCAAGUCAUCAUGGCCCUUACGGCCAGGGCUACACACGUGCUACAAUGG
This 602-nucleotide ribosomal RNA is filed under the name Acinetobacter sp. ST12.14/142. RNAcentral's name for it is "bacterial SSU rRNA". It matches the Rfam family "Bacterial small subunit ribosomal RNA", at positions 632 to 1233 of the family's 1533-position model. The record is from RNAcentral. Lineage: Bacteria; Pseudomonadati; Pseudomonadota; Gammaproteobacteria; Moraxellales; Moraxellaceae.